RNAcentral lists this transfer RNA (72 nucleotides) under Bos taurus (domestic cattle). It matches the Rfam family "tRNA". Rfam says of the family: Transfer RNA (tRNA) molecules are approximately 80 nucleotides in length. RNAcentral also lists the same sequence under 1 other name. Lineage: Eukaryota; Metazoa; Chordata; Mammalia; Artiodactyla; Bovidae. The record is from Rfam by way of RNAcentral.
UCCCUGGUGGCUCAGAAGUUAAAGCGUCUGCCUGCAAUGCAGGAGAUGUGGGUUCGAUCCCUGGUUUGAGAA